Long non-coding RNA from Gasterosteus aculeatus aculeatus (three-spined stickleback), 367 nucleotides. The record is from Ensembl. NCBI's taxonomy places the organism in Eukaryota, Metazoa, Chordata, Actinopteri, Perciformes, Gasterosteidae.
GCUGGAUGGCCUUUUGUACUCCUGCAUAUCCAUCUCCGCCAGGAAAAAGAAGAGGGAGAAGGAAAAACACGCAGAUAAAUACAACUUUAUACAACAACCAGGUCAGUCUCCGUUGGAGGAGAAGAAGGAGAAAGCGAGAAACACCAAUGCCACGAGAAGCAGCUAUUUAGGUGACCUGUGCAAAGGAAAAGAGUCUGGCAUGCUUGAGUGGAAAAUGACAGAGGGAAUCCAUCUCCAUUCCUCCCCCCCACACCCUUGUCAGGUCUGCACGGGAGCGGCGGCAGCAGCGAGCCACCGGGCUGCAGAGAGAAGCCGUGAGGAUAAUCAUUUGUUACCCGGCAGUCGAGAGGCUCCAGACCACACCGGG